RNAcentral lists this ribosomal RNA (442 nucleotides) under uncultured bacterium. RNAcentral describes it as "partial 16S ribosomal RNA". It matches the Rfam family "Bacterial small subunit ribosomal RNA", at positions 338 to 795 of the family's 1533-position model. The record is from RNAcentral.
CCUACGGGUGGCAGCAGUGGGGAAUAUUGGGCAAUGGGCGCAAGCCUGACCCAGCAACGCCGCGUGAAGGAAGAAGGCUUUCGGGUUGUAAACUUCUUUUUUCAGGGAAGAGUAGAAGACUGUACCUGACGAAUAAGCCACGGCUAACUACGUGCCAGCAGCCGCGGUAAUACGUAGGUGGCAAGCGUUGUCCGGCUUUACUGGGUGUAAAGGGCGUGUAGCCGGGUUGACAAGUGAGAUGUGAAAUCCUGCGGCUUAACCGCAGAACUGCAUUUGAAACUGUUGAUCUUGAGUACUGGAGAGGCAGACGGAAGUGGUAGGGUAGCGGUGAAAUGCGUAGAUAUUAGGAGGAACACCAGUGGCGAAGGCGGUCUGCUGGACAGCAACUGACGGUGAGGCGCGAAAGCGUGGGGAGCAAACAGGAUUAGAUACCCUAGUAGUC